Molecule: ribosomal RNA, 478 nt
Filed under: uncultured bacterium
Lineage: Bacteria
Description: partial 16S ribosomal RNA
Rfam family: Bacterial small subunit ribosomal RNA
Source: RNAcentral
GACGAACGCUGGCGGCGUGCUUAACACAUGCAAGUCGAACGGUAAGGCCCUUCGGGGUACACGAGUGGCGAACGGGUGAGUAACACGUGGGUGAUCUGCCCUGCACUUCGGGAUAAGCCUGGGAAACUGGGUCUAAUACCGGAGAGGACCACUGCCUGCAUGGGUGGCGGUGGAAAGCUUUUGCGUGGUGGGAUGGGCCCGCGGCCUAGCAGCUUGUUGGUGGGGUGAUGGCCUACCAAGGCGACGACGGGUAGCCGGCCGGAGAGGGUGCCCGGCCAUACUGGGACUGCGAUACGGCCCAGACUGCUCCGGGAGGCAGCAGUGGGGAAUAUUGCACAAUGGGCGCAAGCCUGGUGCAGCGACGCCGCGUGAGGGAUGACGGCCUUCGGGUUGUAAACCUCUUUCAGCACCGACGAAGCGCAAGUGACGGUAGGUGCAGAAGAAGGACCGGCCAACUACGUGCCAGCCGCCGCAGUAA